This is a long non-coding RNA of Solea senegalensis (Senegalese sole), 1050 nucleotides long. RefSeq lists it as uncharacterized. NCBI's taxonomy places the organism in Eukaryota, Metazoa, Chordata, Actinopteri, Pleuronectiformes, Soleidae. The record is from RefSeq and is a predicted model, not a curated record. The transcript is spliced from 3 exons.
GUAUUUUCUCUCUGCGCUUCCAUCUCCACUGGAUCGUUGGUUCAGGACCCAAGGAUAUGCUGAGGAAAUCGAAAACACAGACACAAAAUCAAUAUGACAAGAAGACGUGGGAACCCAUACAGCAUCACCAUCAGAGGCUUUUUUAAAGAGCAAGCUGUAGUCAUGCUGCAAUUUGGAGGAGCAUUUCCACAACCGGCAGGGUCAGCAGCUGUACACCUUCUGCUGUCUGGCACCAGAAGAGCAUCUGCAUUAGCUUCUACAUCAAUAUGGGUAAGUAUCUCAUCUUCUGCCAGACAGGCUGCUCCCUCUGGGCAUUUCAUGAACUUUUCCAAGUAUAUUUUGUGUAAAAUCUGUCUAAAGAUACCACAUUUUACACAUUCCUGCAGACAGCUGUGUAUAAAAUGGACAUGGGGAAACUGCAGGAGUUAGGCUACAUCCUUACUACUGUGUUUCUUUUAUUCAAAUAUAACAUCAAAUAUUUUUUAUAGAAAAACCAAACAAUCUGCAGCCUUUCAGCUCCAUAUCAGAAGUAUGUGAUCUAUCAGGCAAAAUGUACACCCAUGUGCUGGUGUAAACAGGAAGCUGAUUCUCUCCUUUGCAGUUGUAGAGUUUUCAAACAAAAUGUGAGGUAACUUCAGUAGAGCUUAAGAACAGGGUAAUGUUGACAGCAGUUCCAUCCAACAAAAAUGGAGUGAUUUGGAUAGAGGCAUGAUUGCCAGAGUGUUUUUGAGUUCAAUGAUUUACAUCUAAAAAAUCCAGCCAAUGUGUGUAACUGUCAUAUCCACAUUACAUGGGAGUGGGUUUUCCUACAUCCUUAAUAGAAAGUGACUGAGCUCCAGUCUCCAGUUAACCAAACCCCAAUCUGCAUGUUUUUGGACUGUGGAAGGAAGAAGCCAGAGAAACUUGACACAAACAUGAGAAUAACAUGCAAACUAUUUCUGACUGUGAUUUAAGCACUUUUACUUUUGAGAAGUGUCAAGAGAAUCACUUAAGAAAGUGAAAAAAAAUGAAUCUUAUUAUUUGUCAAAAACCCUAGCGACACAUUGACAC